This 44-nucleotide ribosomal RNA is filed under the name Umbilicaria spodochroa. Its description in RNAcentral is "partial 18S ribosomal RNA". Lineage: Eukaryota; Fungi; Ascomycota; Lecanoromycetes; Umbilicariales; Umbilicariaceae. The record is from RNAcentral.
UUAUUGAUAUGCUUAAGUUCAGCGGGUAUCCCUACCUGAUCCGA